Long non-coding RNA from Equus caballus (horse), 2992 nucleotides. The record is from Ensembl. NCBI's taxonomy places the organism in Eukaryota, Metazoa, Chordata, Mammalia, Perissodactyla, Equidae.
GAAAAAUGUGUGCUUGACGUCCAGGGAGAGAACGGAGCAUUAGAACAGGAGUUAUAAAUUCAAGCAAAUCUGCUAACUCUUUUCCUCCUUGCACCAACGGAGACAUCUUAACUACAAUAAUUUUGGAAGCCCCCUAAGCUACAGAGACACAUGAAGUGAAACUGGCAGGAGCUCUCAACACAGCCUUGCAUUCUACAAUGAUUCUAGCAAUGGAUAAUAGUCACGGCUUGCCAAGCGGUGUAUAUGUCCGCACCCGGGAUCCAAACCGGCAAUCCCCAGGCCUCUGAAGUGAAACGUAGGCAGUUUCCAAUGCAGGUCAUAUAAGAAUCACAUUCUUUGAAGAAACGUUCCACAGGGGAAGAAACCAGAGAAGGUGGUGAAAUAGACAUCAGAAUAAUACAUCCCCCCACGUGCAAUAAAAUCCACAAAUACAACACCACGCCUCUGAUCUCCCAUUCUAUCCCCAGAGGUUUGCUCAAGCCAGGCACACGGAAAACUUACAUCAAACUCCUCACUUCCAAGAUCAGAGGAAGUCCAAGCUGUCCCUCAAGGAUUCAGAGGAUUCCUUGGAGUGAAGAGAUGGAGAAGAAGCCAGAUAACAUUCUCAUAGCCCCAGCUGAUCCUGAUUCCGUGAAGGAAGUUACCACAUUGAUGCAAACUUGAAAUCCCACUUCUUCUCUAUUGCCUUCCUCCACGGACACAUGCAAAAAUAGACAGACAAUCACACAAAAAUUCACGAGUCUAAUGGAUAGUACUGAAAUGCCAGAGGAGAGGUUACAUUACAUUGCAAAAAAAUUUACAAUCUCUGUUUGAAAUUUCUAUUAUUGAAAAUCUCCUUAAACCUCUGCUCCACUAGGGAUGUUUUUCUUGGCCCUUUUUGCUUUGCUACAAUCUUCUUUCCUUCUUCCCUUCUUCUCUUCCCACUUACUUCCCUCUUGACCACUUUCUCACUGUGUUUCCCCAGGAGUUCCAAAUUCUUCUUCUUCUGUUAACCAGAGCAAGCAAGUACAAUCCAGUGUGCAUUUUUAAACUUGCACCUCCAAAUCCAAGAAGCUGUUUUACGUGUUUUGCCAGAAAUCAGUUCCCAACUCUUCCAUGUUAUAGAGAGUAACCUUGGACAAGUUACUCAAGCUCUGUGUACCUUGCCUUCCUCAUCUAUGUAAUGGGGAUAAUAGUAGUAAUUAACUCAUAUGUGUAUCUUGAUGGUCAGAUUACUCAAUAUUGAUAAACCUAAACAAACCCUGACAGAGUUAGGGGCUUAAUAAAUGUUAAUUAUUGUAAUUGUUAUUUUUAUGGUUGUUUACCCUCCUGUGAAGCCUCUGUUGUUAUACUGAUUAUUUUUUUCUUGUUGUUAUUCUUUCUUUCUCCUCCUCUCCUUCUCCUCCUCUUUUGCUGUUAAAUAAUGGUAGCAUGGAAUCUCUCAGAACUCCGUUACAGCUAGAAUAGCCCUGUCAUAUGAAAACAAGCAAGCAGAAAACUAUGCACUUUUUUUCUUUCUGCUCUCAUAAUGCCUUUGACCCUUGCCUCUCUUUUUGCAGAUACUUUAUUAAUCUGUGUGCACAUGACAUAUGACACACACAUAAUGGCCACCCAAAAAUGGUGUUCUAGGAUCCAAAAUCUAUAUAACCUACCCACUCAUUUCAAGUCUCUGGGAGAGAAAAUCUAAUUGGUCCAUCUUGGUUCAGGGGUCCACUCUUACUCUAGUUGACCUUUGUUCGAGUUUAGUGGGUUCUCUAAACAAAAACAAAAAUGUUGGUCUCUUUUAAAACACCCCUUCUCUGUAUUUGUUCACCUGGACUUUAGGGAAUGUCUCUUAUCUUUUAUUCCUAGCAUUAAGCACAGUCUUAGCCUAUGCAAGACACUCAAUAAAUGCUUAUUGAAAGGAUCAAGUAUUGAUUCUUUUUUUUGUGCUGAAUUUCACUCACUAGCAAAUUUUGUUAAAGUAACAUCCUAGCAUUUAUGUUAUUAAUAAACUGAACUAUUCUUAUGUAUUUAAGUGGCUUUCUGGUCAUUUAAUAAAAAAUAGAUGUGGCCUCUAGAGAAGACUGAAAAAGCAAUCAAGGAUGAAGUUGUCAGUUAACAGGACUAGAGAAAGAGAGAGAAAUAAAGGAAAAUAGAAUAUGCCAAUAGAAAUAUAUAGAAAACCGAUAACACUCCCAGUAGUUAUUCUCAAUUAUCUAAAGAAUAAUGAGAAUGAGAAUUAUGAACAUUUCUUUUUAUAUAUAUAAUUAAUCUUGGAAGUAAUUUUUAGAUAGUCAUCAAAACAUAUCUAUCUAUUUCUUCCUGACUCAUAUAUCAAAUUGCUAGGAGAGUUUUGUUUUACUUAUUUUUCUAAAUAUUUUCAAAAUUUUAAUUUUCUAAGAUUUUAUAAACUUCAUUUUGAAACCAUCUAGAAAUGCGGCCAGUAUUAAUUUUGGAAAAUACGUUUAGCAGGUUUUCAUUACUAAACACACUUUACUGCAGUUCAAGGUACCUAAUUUUACACCUGCUUGAGCAGUGAGUAGAGUAACAACCAGAAGAAACAGACAGGAGAGAAUCUUUAAAUAUACAUACAAAUAAUUUUUUAGUCCUGAUUCUCAGUCACGCUUGUUACCAACCAGAAGUCAAGCCAUAUUUUAAUUAUUAGAGUCUAUCAGUGAGGAAAAAAUCAAGCCAGCAGCAGUGGAAUGGGAAAAAGAGUGAUUGGCAGCUUCUAGGGGAGCAAAACCUUCACUACAGGAAAUGAAUGCCAUUCCAUUUUGAUUUUACAAACAAAUAGCUUAAUUGAAAAAAUUCUUAGUGUGUUGGAAAACCUGAUCUCCCACUACAUAUUUCUUGUUCCAUAGACCAUAUCUAAAUGAAGAUUUGAUGAUCAUAACCUAGUUAAUAAUCCUGAAAUUUAUCUGCCUUCAAUAAAUGUUUACAGAUUUUCACAGAAGUGGCUCAAAUAUUAGUUUUUAAGUGCAUAAAUGUAUGUGAGUAUAGACACAUACAUUUGUUAUAUAUAUUAAAC